AAUUUUGUUAGUUUAAAAAAAACGUGGACUUGUGGAGUCAAAAUUGCAAUAUCUUGCACAAAAUA
This 65-nucleotide transfer RNA is filed under the name Scirtothrips dorsalis. Its description in RNAcentral is "tRNA-His". The record is from RNAcentral. Lineage: Eukaryota; Metazoa; Arthropoda; Insecta; Thysanoptera; Thripidae.